Molecule: ribosomal RNA, 253 nt
Filed under: uncultured bacterium
Lineage: Bacteria
Description: partial 16S ribosomal RNA
Rfam family: Bacterial small subunit ribosomal RNA
Source: RNAcentral
UACGUAUGGUGCAAGCGUUAUCCGGAAUUACUGGGUGUAAAGGGAGCGUAGACGGCGAAGUAAGCCUGAAGUGGAAGCCCGCGGCCCAACCGCGGAACUGCUUUGGGAACUGCUUAGCUGGAGUAUGGGAGGGGUAAGCGGAAUUCCUGGUGUAGCGGUGAAAUGCGUAGAUAUCAGGAGGAACACCGGUGGCGAAGGCGGCUUACUGGACCAUGACUGACGUUGAGGCUCGAAAGCGUGGGGAGCGAACAGG